Long non-coding RNA from Gracilinanus agilis (Agile Gracile Mouse Opossum), 431 nucleotides. RefSeq lists it as uncharacterized. The transcript has 3 exons. The record is from RefSeq and is a predicted model, not a curated record. NCBI's taxonomy places the organism in Eukaryota, Metazoa, Chordata, Mammalia, Didelphimorphia, Didelphidae.
UUGAAUGAAAGCCCAAAGCUGCAGAGACCCAGACAGUCUGACAAAAUGAACGGUGCCUCAUUUACCUGAAAACCAUGAGGAAAAAAGGCAAGGCAAGGAAAACUUCCAACACUCUACAGUGCCAUCAGAGCAGUGAUGCUUUGAAUGAAAUCCAAGGCUUUAAACCACCCAAUCUUACAAGGUAUCAGGAAGGUGCUUCAUUUACCUGACAACAAUAAGGAUAAAAUAAAGAAGGAAAAGAAAAUCUUGUAACACCUCAUAGUCCCUUCAUCAGGCACCAUUCAAGAGGAAAAGGUGGAGUUGGUAGGAUGCAGAAUACAGAAUUUCCGAGCUAAGAGGCAAGACCUGUGUCUGAAAAUACAAAUAUGGUGUGGAAAGUAAAGCCAAAAUAUUAGACUGGGAAGGUCACUUAGAAACAAGAAUAUCUGAAC